UUCGGUUGAUCCUGCCGGACCUGACUGCUAUCGUGAUUGGUACUAAGCCAUGCGAGUCGUUGUACAAUACAAUGCGGACUGCUCAGUAACACGUAGUUAACUUAACCUAUGGAUGGGAAUAACCUCGGGAAACUGAGAAUAAUACCCAAUGGGCCACAGUGCCUGUAAUGGCCUGUGGUUGAAAUGAUUUAUCGCCGUAUGAUAGGACUGCGGUCUAUCAGCUUGUUGGUGAGGUAAUGGCCCACCAAGGCUAUAACAGGUACGGGCUCUGAGAGGAUGGGCCCGGAGAUGGGUACUGAGACACGGACCCAGGCCCUAUGGGGCGCAGCAGGCGAGAAACCUUUGCAAUGUGCGAAAGCACGACAAGGUUAAUCCAAGUGUCUCCUGCUAAAGGAGUCUUUUGUCAGUUGUAGAAUCACUGGUGAAUAAAGGGUGGGCAAGUUCUGGUGUCAGGCGGCGCGGUGAAAACCAGCACCUCGAGUGGUCAGGAGGUUCAUUGGGCCUAAAGCUUCCGUAGCCGGUUGCAUAAGUGUUCGGUUUGGAUCUAUGCGCUUAACGUAU
This 561-nucleotide ribosomal RNA is filed under the name uncultured archaeon. Its description in RNAcentral is "bacterial SSU rRNA". It matches the Rfam family "Archaeal small subunit ribosomal RNA", at positions 1 to 567 of the family's 1478-position model. The record is from RNAcentral.